GACACUAAUAGGUUAAUGCUGAUGGCACUGGCACUAGAGACUUGAUAUUGGUGAUCAUUGGUGUUUUUAGAGUCUGCGCUGCAGCGGGUGCUUGAUAGAAGACAGCGGAGCCGGAUGCAGCCGCCAGAACCUCCAAUAUGGCCGUGCCCAGGGAACUUCCUGUUUUGGUCCGGUCGGCAAAGUCUUCCCCUGUGCAACGUAGGGUGGCUCUUUGGUUCCUCCUUCCUGUGCUGGAGAGGCGUCACUGCCGGGGACUGAUGGGGCGGAGCUGCGACAGCUCACGUGAGGGGGAAACACCGGACCCAAUUAACCCUUUCAGUCAUUGGCUCCGGCACGAAGCGCAGCCAGAAGAAGUCAAGCACGCUUUACGAAGCCUGGGAAAAAAAUAUAUAUCUUUGGCAGAAACACAUAAUAAUAUAAUAAUAUGUUAUGUUUUUUUAGGAUAAAGAAGCUACUGAAAAGCA
Molecule: long non-coding RNA, 464 nt
Organism: Hyla sarda
Lineage: Eukaryota; Metazoa; Chordata; Amphibia; Anura; Hylidae
Exons: 2
Source: RefSeq, a predicted model, not a curated record